Molecule: unclassified non-coding RNA, 174 nt
Filed under: uncultured Trichomeriaceae
Lineage: Eukaryota; Fungi; Ascomycota; Eurotiomycetes; Chaetothyriales
Description: sequence contains ITS2
Source: RNAcentral
UCCUCUCUCAAACCCUCCGGGGUUUGGUGUUGGACCGCGUUGGAUACCCCUCGGGGACCAACUGGUCUCAAAGACAAUGACGGCGUCCGUGGGACCCUCUUCGCACUGAGCUUUCCGGAGCACGCGUCGAGUUGCAAGGUCCCGGGGACCCGGCCAACCAUUUAUAUUUUUUCA